UCCUGGUGGCUUAGACGGUAAAGUGUCUGCCUGCAAUGCGGGAGACCUGGGUUCGAUCCCUGGGUCGGGAA
RNAcentral lists this transfer RNA (71 nucleotides) under Bos taurus (domestic cattle). It matches the Rfam family "tRNA". Rfam says of the family: Transfer RNA (tRNA) molecules are approximately 80 nucleotides in length. Their secondary structure includes four short double-helical elements and three loops (D, anti-codon, and T loops). The record is from Rfam by way of RNAcentral. RNAcentral also lists the same sequence under 3 other names. Lineage: Eukaryota; Metazoa; Chordata; Mammalia; Artiodactyla; Bovidae.